This 440-nucleotide ribosomal RNA is filed under the name uncultured bacterium. Its description in RNAcentral is "partial 16S ribosomal RNA". It matches the Rfam family "Bacterial small subunit ribosomal RNA", at positions 338 to 795 of the family's 1533-position model. The record is from RNAcentral.
CCUACGGGAGGCAGCAGUAGGGAAUAUUGCUCAAUGGGGGAAACCCUGAAGCAGCAACGCCGCGUGGAGGAUGAAGGUUUUCGGAUUGUAAACUCCUUUUGUUAGAGAAGAUAAUGACGGUAUCUAACGAAUAAACACCGGCUACCUCCGUGCCAGCAGCCGCGGUCAUACGGAGGGUGCAAGCGUUACUCGGAAUCACUGGGCGUAAAGAGCGCGUAGGCGGGAUAGCAAGUCAGAUGUGAAAUCCUAUGGCUUAACCAUAGAACUGCAUUUGAAACUGUUAUUCUAGAGUAUGGGAGAGGUAGGUGGAAUUCUUGGUGUAGGGGUAAAAUCCGUAGAGAUCAAGAGGAAUACUCAUUGCGAAGGCGACCUGCUAGAACAUAACUGACGCUGAUGCGCGAAAGCGUGGGGAGCAAACAGGAUUAGAUACCCCGGUAGUC